UAUGAAGGGGGCAAGCGUUGUUCGGAAUUACUGGGCGUAAAGGGCGCGUAGGCGGUCUAUCAAGUCAGGCGUGAAAUUCCCGGGCUCAACCCGGGGGCUGCGCUUGAUACUGAUGGACUUGAAUGCGGGAGAGGAUAGUGGAAUUCCCAGUGUAGAGGUGAAAUUCGUAGAUAUUGGGAAGAACACCAGUGGCGAAGGCGGCUAUCUGGCCCGUUAUUGACGCUGAGGCGCGAAAGCGUGGGGAGCAAACAGGAUUAGAUACCCUGUAGU
RNAcentral lists this ribosomal RNA (270 nucleotides) under uncultured bacterium. RNAcentral's name for it is "partial 16S ribosomal RNA". It matches the Rfam family "Bacterial small subunit ribosomal RNA", at positions 524 to 794 of the family's 1533-position model. The record is from RNAcentral.